Molecule: ribosomal RNA, 472 nt
Filed under: uncultured bacterium
Lineage: Bacteria
Description: bacterial SSU rRNA
Rfam family: Bacterial small subunit ribosomal RNA
Source: RNAcentral
AGCGAACGCUGGCGGCAGGCCUAACACAUGCAAGUCGAGCGCCGUAGCAAUACGGAGCGGCAGACGGGUGAGUAACGCGUGGGAACGUACCUUUCGGUUCGGAAUAACUCAGGGAAACUUGAGCUAAUACCGAAUACGUCCGUAAGGAGAAAGAUUUAUCGCCGAAAGAUCGGCCCGCGUAAGAUUAGCUAGUUGGUGAGGUAACGGCUCACCAAGGCUAUGAUCUUUAGCUGUUCNGAGAGGAAGAUCAGCCACACUGGGACUGAGACACGGCCCAGACUCCUACGGGAGGCAGCAGUGGGGAAUAUUGGACAAUGGGCGCAAGCCUGAUCCAGCCAUGCCGCGUGAGUGAUGAAGGCCUUAGGGUUGUAAAGCUCUUUUGUCCGGGAAGAAAUCGCAAGGGUGAAUAGCCUUUGUGGCUGACGGUACCGGGAGAAGAAGCACCGGCUAACUUCGUGCCAGCCGCCGCGGU